ACGCGAAAGGCCCCUUCGGGGGCCGAGUAGAGUGGCGUCCGGGUGAGUAACACGUAGGUAAUCUACCUCUGGGCGGGGAAUAACAGCCGGAAACGGCUGCUAAUACCGCAUAACGCAGCGGCACCACAUGGUGACAGUUGUUAAAGCGGGGGAUCGUAAGACCUCGCGCCUGGAGAGGAGCCUGCGGCGGAUUAGCUAGUUGGUGGGGUAAUGGCUCACCAAGGCAACGAUCCGUAGCCGGCCUGAGAGGGCGGUCGGCCACACUGGCACUGACAUACGGGCCAGACUCCUACGGGAGGCAGCAGUCGGGAAUUUUGGGCAAUGGGCGAAAGCCUGACCCAGCAACGCCGCGUGGAGGAUGAAGUUUCUCGGAAUGUAAACUCCGUAAGAAUGGGACGAAUAAGGAGGGGCCAAUACCCCCUUCGAUGACGGUACCAUUCGUAAGCUCCGGCUAACUCCGUGCCAGCAGCCGCGGUAAUACGGGGGGAGCAAGCGUUG
This 498-nucleotide ribosomal RNA is filed under the name uncultured bacterium. RNAcentral describes it as "bacterial SSU rRNA". It matches the Rfam family "Bacterial small subunit ribosomal RNA", at positions 66 to 543 of the family's 1533-position model. The record is from RNAcentral.